RNAcentral lists this long non-coding RNA (506 nucleotides) under Dasypus novemcinctus (nine-banded armadillo). Its description in RNAcentral is "lncRNA (ENSDNOG00000050331.1)". Lineage: Eukaryota; Metazoa; Chordata; Mammalia; Cingulata; Dasypodidae. The record is from RNAcentral.
CCUGGUGCGCGGCGAUUGGCGGCGGGGGCGCUGAGUGGCAGCCGCACCGUCCAGCGGGCGCUGUGCGUGGGCCGCGGGGCGGGGCCAGGGCGGGUGCGCGGCGGCGGCGGGGUGGCUGGGCCGGCGGCGGCGGCGGUACGAGGCGCGCGCUCGGGGUCCCGGUCGCGAGGAGGAGGAGGAUGUGGCGCGCGGAGGGGAAAUGGCUGCCGAAAACAAGCCGGAAGAGAUCAUGAUGCAGACGUCCUUUUGGAUUUCUUUUUAAUAAUGUGUGACCCUUCACCUUUGAUUCCCUGACCUGCAUUACCUUGGUAACCAUUUCAUUUUUUAAUUUAAUUUCAUUUUUUAAUUUUGGUGUACAAGCUGUAACAUUUCAUCUUUCAAAGUGUAACACGCUGGGUUUCCUCAAAUAGAGAUAUACCCCCUUGAGUAAUAAAUUUGCAAAAUGCUGUCUUCAUUUUCUGUAUUAAAAUUCAUUUCAGUUUUUAAAAUAAAGUAUAAUUUGUGUU